UCGCCGCCCUCGUCCAGCGCGCUGCCUGCGUGUACCUUCCGCUGGCGCUGCCACCGCUCCCGCUCUCGCUGCUCCUUCAGCUGGAGGGGCGAGGAGGGCGGGGCACCCUGAGCCUCCCGCCGCCCACGCGCUCUCCACUCCCUCAGCCUUGCUCAGGCCCAGGCCCCAGCAGCACCCUCACCAUGGCCUCCAUGCGCGCCCGUCGUUCCUCCUCCUCCUUCCUUCUCCGCAUGGCCUCCAGGUCCUGCCGGGCCUCCGAGAAGGCCUGCAGGAAGGUGUCGAAGAUGCCGAAGAAUUCAUCCGGCUGCAUCUUGCUGUCCUGCUCCCCAAAGUGCAUCAGGGCCUUGGAGAACUGUUGAAGAGAAGGGUUGGUGGAGAGUCCCCCCCAAGCCUUGUGGGCAGUUGAAUUCCAGCCAGAGCAGAGCUCAUCCAGGUGGGGGGACUUGGGGGGGCAGGGCUAGAGAGGGGAGCCCCCCCCCCAACGUCAUCAGGGUAAGGACAAGGCUGAAGGAAGGAAAGGCUUGAGGCUGACACGUGGGGAGGUGGGAGACCCAGGCUGGCUGACAGAGGCUGCCCAGAGUGACCUCUGGGUCUGUUAGGGUGUAGGUACAGGACCAGGAGCUGCAGACCUUGGGAAGCACUUCCUAAGGUCAGGACCACAAGGAUGUCAGAUCAUCUAGUUAUCGGGCUACUUAUUUAACCCCUCUGUGCCUCAGUUUCUUCAUCUGUAGAAUGGGGAUAAUAAUAGGACCUAUUUUAUAGUGUUGGGGGGGGUUAAAUGAGUUCGUGAUGCAGAGUGCUAGCUACAUACCUGGCCCUAUUACUGAGAACUACCAUCUCUAAUUCAACCUACUGAAAACCCUCUAAGAAAGCCUUCACUACUCUCAGUGUGCUCCCUGCACCAGCGGCAUGGGUGUUUCCCGGGAGCUGGUUAGAAGGGCUGAAUCUCAGGCUCCACCCCCGACCUCCUGAAUGAGGACCGACAUCUCAAUAAGACUCCCACAGUUGGGGUCCAGAGUGCAAAGCAGGAAGAGGCAGAGCAACCGAGAGCAAAGCUAGGCUCCGGAGUCAGGCUUCUAACCCAGCUCUGUGUGUCACAGCUGGGCAACCCUGGGCAAGUUACUUAACGUCUGUGGAUCUCAGUGCACGUAUCUGUGGAAUGGGAUAAUAGCCUUUCAACAAACCCAGAAGGUAGGCGGUGAGACAGAGGAUGGAAAACACUUCAUGGGGCGCCUGACAUCUGGUCAAUGGACUGUGAACUUUGCAACAGCGUUGCUGUCGCUUUUCUUGUAGGAGUGAGGAAACCCUUUCUCCUCAAAGCUCUGUGCCUCUGGGUGUGUCCCUUCUGGGCCACCUGUGGUAGGACCGGUGAAGACAGAGAGGGGUGGGGUUGGGGUCAGCCUGGGGGCUUGGGGCGCCCUUACCUUGGCCCUGGCUUCAUUGAGCUGGUCCUCCAGCUCUGAGAAGCUGAAGCUGGAGACCGUGAUGAAGUCGCUCAUGACCGGGACAAACCUGUCCUUCGGAUCCCACGCCUGGCGUUUCUGAUAUUCCAGCUCCUGAGGAGGGAGAGCCAAGUGCUGGUCAGACCAGUGCCAGGACGAGAGUCAGGAAUGCUGGGACUCACCACAUCUUCCACCCUCCUUGCCAAUCGCAGGACACUGAGCCUGCCUUUGGAAGAGGGAACACCCUGGGUCUCAAAUUCUAAGGGUGGCAAAGAUUGUGAGGUAUCAACCAGUCCCCCCUGCCUCUAUGCUUCCCUCGCCGCCGCUGCCAUAUUUCUUUCUCUAGAUCCUGCUACCCAAAGCGUGGUCUGGGACCAGCAGCGUGAAAUUUUAAGAAGCAGGCUCUCAGGCCCCACUCAGAAUUAGAAUCUGCAUUUUCACAAGAACCUUGGGUGAUCUGUGUGCCGAUUAAAGCGUGAGAUGCAUUUCCAAAUCUCCCAGUUGAUGCGAUGCUGCUGGUUCAUGGACCACAGACCACAUUUUGGAUCCUUCUAGACCGGAAAUGUCAUGCUGCAUAUUGGAAGGUUUCCAACACAUGGCCUCUGGCUUGGAUUUAUUUUUAUUACCAUCAGGUCUGACUUCUCGCCUGUAGCAGAUGCCCCUGGAGCCCGCCACCCCACCCCCGCCAUCUCCUUGGACCUUCCGUUGUAGUGGACAGCCCUGACUUCCAACCACUGAGCACUUUCUCUGCGGGCCAGAGCAUUACUGCCCACCCCCAGCCAGUGAGCGACAGGAGAUGGUAGAUGAUGCCCAUCUUACCCCUUGUGGGGAUAAUGGAGCGAGUGUCCUACACUGUCUCCCACACUCUGCAGAGGCAGGAUUAAGCUCUGAUCGCCUGCAGUGGCGCUCCCACGCUGCCCUUUGUUCAUGAAGUUGCCGAUGGCCAGGACGACCUCUAGCAUCUGCGCUAGACGCUUGCUGCGGAUCAGCUCCCGGGAGGCCAGCAGGAUGGCUGGGGGAGGAGGGACAGGUGAGAGCCCCACAUACACCAGGCCCUUGAACCCUAGGAUGAUACUACCACAAAGUCCAGAAAAGGCGCCGUUAAGUGUCAGCUUCAGAGGGGCAGAGGCUAUGCCCACAGCCCAGCAGACGAUCUUCUCCACAUCUACCUGCCUCCAGGGGAAGCAAACUCGCCAAAAGCCAAUUCACCAAAUAACCCUUUCUCAAAAUGUGCCAACUCUUCCUAAGACUAUAUUGGAGAAUGUAUCAUCUUUCCUUGCAUAUAUUUAGACUCUUAACAUAUUCUUUCUGUGGAUAUAUGCAAGAAUAUAAUACUUUGGGCUUCCCUGGUGGCACAGCGGUUGAGAAUCCACCUGCCA
This is a non-coding RNA of Delphinapterus leucas (beluga whale), 2821 nucleotides long. NCBI's taxonomy places the organism in Eukaryota, Metazoa, Chordata, Mammalia, Artiodactyla, Monodontidae. The record is from RefSeq and is a predicted model, not a curated record.